Molecule: unclassified non-coding RNA, 147 nt
Filed under: soil metagenome
Description: partial internal transcribed spacer 1
Source: RNAcentral
CCGAGUUUACAACUCCCAAACCCCUGUGAACAUACCACUUGUUGCCUCGGCGGAUCAGCCCGCUCCCGGUAAAACGGGACGGCCCGCCAGAGGACCCCUAAACUCUGUUCCUAUAUGUAACUUCUGAGUAAAACCAUAAAUAAAUCA